GUCUAUGACCAUGCCACCCUGAACAAGCCCAAUCCCGUCUGAUUUCGGAAGCUAAGCAGGGUCGGGCCUGGUUAGCAUUUGGAUGGGAGACCACCUAGAAAGACCAGGUGCUGUAGGCG
This 119-nucleotide ribosomal RNA is filed under the name Pteropus alecto (black flying fox). The record is from RNAcentral. Lineage: Eukaryota; Metazoa; Chordata; Mammalia; Chiroptera; Pteropodidae.